Molecule: long non-coding RNA, 3020 nt
Filed under: Salvia miltiorrhiza (redroot sage)
Lineage: Eukaryota; Viridiplantae; Streptophyta; Magnoliopsida; Lamiales; Lamiaceae
Description: long non-coding RNA (SMIL_LNC006429)
Source: RNAcentral
GGUAGGACACAAAUUGAUGGACGAACCAAAAAAGAAAUUAAGACACGAAUUGGUGGACGGAGGAAGUAGCAAAUAAAUAGAUUUCAAAAGAAAGAAUGAGUAGGUAUGCCGACUCAAAAUGGUUCGACCUGCACCUUACUUGUAAACUAAUGUUUUCAUUCAAUCUUUUGCUAGUGAACUUGCAUGAUUACAUGAGUUGUAUGAACUAUUUGUGAAACCAAUAUUGUCAUAUCAUUGAGAUUACUUGGUAGCAUAUCAACCUUGUCAUACAUGAAUAUUUACUUGAAUGGUGCAGGUCAUGAGCAUGCUGAAUUGAAUUGAAGGACUUUUGACAUAUUCAAAUCUCAAAGAAGCAUCCAUCUGCAACAAACUUAGAAAUAUUAGCAAAUAUAAGAGCACUGUAUAUGUAACAUUCAUUGGUUUAACAAAUCCAAAUAAAUAAGGAGGAAAAAAGAACACGCAAAAAUAUGAAAGCGAGAAAUACAUUAAAGAAAAUGCAACAGUAAUAGCUUAAACAUAGCAAAAGAAUAAAAUAUUGUACAUUAGGCGGAGUGAGCAAUUAACCAACCAAUAAAUGGGUAAAUUGAAAGCACAAUAGAGAAUAAACCGAAAUUAUAGUAGUGCAAGAACAAAUCUAUAUAAUAUAUAAAAGAGGAGUUUUGUCAUCUAUUUUUUCUCUCUCUUCUUCCGCCAAAUUUUUCAAUAUUUUCUCUUUUUUUUAUAAUUUUAAUUACUUUCUAAUCAUCACAUAAUUUUAUUUAUGAAAAAAAAUAUUCAAUAUGCAUCUUAAAUUUAAUUUUGUGACAAGAUUUUUAAUAUGGUAAAAAAAACAUCAAAAAUGAAUUUAAAACGAAUAAGUUAUGAAAAUUUUAAGAUAUUUUAUUUUCUCUCUCUUCGCUAAAAUUUUAUAAUUUAUUUUUAUUGAUGUUAGGCCAUGAGAAUAUUUAUUCAUUUAAUAUGUCGUGUAAUACUCUAUAAUAAUAAUGUGUAAUGUUAAUUUUUAUUAUAAAAUUUUUUGAAAUUAUUUAAUAACUAUGAUUAUCAUUACACAUUAUACAAAGUUAAAAUUUGUAAUUGAUGAGGUUUAUCUUUAAUUUAUUUUUAAAAUAUAUUUUGUAUUUAAUUAUAAUUUAUCUAAUAUUUAUAUUUUUAUUUAAAACAUGUGGUUGAUUUCGAUGUUUGUCGUGCAUCGCACGAAUGGUCAUACUAGUGUUAUAUAAAAAGAAAAAAUUCAAGUGAGCAUUAGAGAAAAUGUAGAGCUCUACAGAGUGACAUUGGCAUAUCUUGGUUUGGUUUAUAUAGCCAAUUUUUAGAGUGAAUAUGAAUUUCAGUUUAGGCUGAAAUCCUAGAGCCCAAGUCUGCAUUCAACCCUCAAUGAUGGCUAAUUAAUGAGAAAUAUCUGCAAAUCUGCCUCGAGCCACAAAACACAUGGAAUGAAGAUAAAUAGCCAAUAUUUGUAGGGCUGGUAAACCGGUCGGUUCGGUUUUGGUUCGGUUAAAACCGAACCGGUUAACCGGAACCGGAUAAGGCUCAAUCGCCUUAUCCAAAAGAUUCCAAAAGAUUCGAAUUUAAUAAAUUUGUAAGUAGUGGGAUUUGAACCUUGCCCUUUCAAAGAAAGAAUGAGGUCCUAUCCACUCCACCAACUAAUAUUUUAUGUUUAUUUAGAACAAAAAUAUAUUUUAUACAAACUUGUAAUGUUAUAUUUUUUUUAAAAAAAGAACAACUCUAAUUCUAAUAAACAAAUUCCCAACCUAAGCAUCAAUUUAACCACAAUUAAAGUAAACAAGAACACACAUUGAAACAGUUUGCUUUUAGAUCAAAUUGGUAUAAGUUAAGAUUAGGGAAAUUUUUGUUCAAACAUAUCUAACAAAAUUAAAAUACUCUUUCAAUCAAUUUUUACAUAUCGAAACCAAAAUUUAUCAAAGCUAUAACAACAACUAUUCCACAAAAUUAUUUACAGCAACUCUCUAUAAAAUUAAAAUACACCAGCAACUAUCAAGCCAUUAUUUACAUCUAACAUAACUAUUUACACCAGCAACUAUUUUACAAAAUUAAAAUACUCUUUCAAAGUCGCACUCUAUCACAAUUCACAGCAACUUUUUACAGCAGCUAUGCACACAAAAAUUUAUACCAAUCAGCAGCUAUUUUCACAAAAUCUAGUAAUUUACAACAACUAUUUAUAGGCUACAGCAGCUAACUGAUUUGCUUGAUGAGCUAUUGACACAAAAUUUACCAUUACAACAGCUAUUUACACAAAACUAUGAGCAAUUGAGCACCCAAACUCCAAUCAGCAUUUAGCAGACAACAGUAGUAUAUCAUCUCCAACACCAAGUCACCACCUCCAAAAACCAAAUUGGACGAUGCCUAAAAAAGAAAGAAAAUAAGAGAUUGUUAUUCGUUAAUACCUGAAUGCACAGCAGCGACGCCGGCAGAGGGGGCGACGCUGCUCGCUGGCGGAGGGAGCGACGCCGGCAGAAUGAGUUAUAGCCGAGAAGAAGAAGAACAAGGCGGAGGGAGUGGCGCCGGCGGAGUGUGGUGAACGAGGUGACGACAGCUGGGGUGGCGGGCGGCGGUCGGUGAUGGCAAAUGCAGCGGGCCAGCGGCGGACUUGGGACUGGGAGAGCGUCGGCGACUCGGCGGAGUGCAGGCUGACUGGCUGAGCACCGGGGGGAGGUAGCGGCGCCGGUGCCGGUGGGAGGCAAGGGAGGCGCCGGUGGGAACGGGAAGCAAGCAAGGGGAGGCGGAAGUGAGACAGACUCAAUUUCAAAGUCUCAAACCCUAACUAUUUGUGGGGUUUUUUAAAUUUUAAUACUCCCUCCGUCCACGAAUUAAAGCCCUACUUGCACUUAAAAUUUUGUCCACCAAUUAAAGCCCUAUUGUGCUUUAUGUACCUUUUUACUCUUCUUCUUUUCCUAUAUUUACUACCCUUUGCCACUAAUGGACCCACCUUACAACAACUUUAUCAUUUUUAUAUUCUAUAUUUAUUACACUUUAUCACUAGUGGACCCACCACAUAACAC